AGAGCAAGAAUUUCUUUUAUAACAUUCUGAGUUUAAUUGCGACAUUUUUAUGAACUUCAUUUUAAUAUCUUAUUUGAUAUAGUGUACUAAAAAUUAUGAAUAAAUUGAGUAGAAUCUUUAACACUUUUUUUCUUCUUUGAAUCUCGUGUAAUUUUGAUAAUAACAUUGUGAAUGUUGAAUGUGAGUUUGUUCCAAAGAUAAGGAACCGCAGGGGAAAAGGAAUGGUCCCUCAAACAAUAAUUGGGAGUUGGAGGGUUUGUAUAAAAAAUGGCGGCCAUUUUUGAUGACGUCAGUUUGAAUUCAGCCAACUUUUGCUCUAUAUCCAAUUCGAAAAUGAAUGCAUUUGUAUUGCCAAAAAAUUAAACAAUCGAGAAUAAAAUCUUUAAUUUUGUUCAAAGUAAAGCCUGACAGAGAGUACAUCUUUUAACGAGGUAUAUGGUGGUCACCUGACUGGUACUAGUGUAACCAGGUCGGGUUGCAGUACUUACUUUUCCCCGACUGGUUCCUUACUCCAGCAUUAUUUCAUACCAAACUUUUGUAACUUCGUGUUUGUGUAGAUUUACAUGUGAGCAGCCAUUGUGAUCAUGCUUUUUGCCUAGCGCCCUCUCGCGGCCAACUAAACUUUUUUUAACAGCGCGCGCCGCCUAGAAUUUGGCUCAACUAUGCGAUGGGCGUAGCGAGCGUGCAAGUUUUGCAUUCCAACGCGCUUUGUUUAAGCGGAAUAGUUGACAUUCCGGGCGUUUCGGUAUAGUUUUCUUGUAGGGCCUGCUGCGGAAUAUUGUUGAUUUCGAUCCAACACAUCGUUGAAUUCAGACCAUCUUUUACGAGCGCUUACACUCUUCACUUGUAUUACAAUUUUGAGAGAGGCUCCCUAUACUAGCAGUAAAAUAUUUACAUCUACAUUGUAUUUUCACUGCUGAUCGUCGAUUUUCACAUCGGAGUAGGCAUGAACGUAGAUCCUCCCAAGUGAUAAUAUCCUUGGAGCUACUUCAUUAGCCCAUUUCCCUUUUGACUGUCGUUUUUAUACACCCAACCAAGUUUCUAAUAUAAUUCUUGUGUAAAUACCUAAUAAUUUGUAUAUAUAUUGUCUCUAUUUGUACUGUAAAUAAACCAUUUCAUAUUUGUGAGACAACAGAAAA
Patiria miniata (bat star) is the source of this 1139-nucleotide long non-coding RNA. RefSeq lists it as uncharacterized. The transcript is spliced from 2 exons. The record is from RefSeq and is a predicted model, not a curated record. NCBI's taxonomy places the organism in Eukaryota, Metazoa, Echinodermata, Asteroidea, Valvatida, Asterinidae.